RNAcentral lists this transfer RNA (83 nucleotides) under Felis catus (domestic cat). It matches the Rfam family "tRNA". Rfam says of the family: Transfer RNA (tRNA) molecules are approximately 80 nucleotides in length. Their secondary structure includes four short double-helical elements and three loops (D, anti-codon, and T loops). Further hydrogen bonds mediate the characteristic L-shaped molecular structure. tRNAs have two regions of fundamental functional importance: the anti-codon, which is responsible for specific mRNA codon recognition, and the 3' end, to which the tRNAs corresponding amino acid is attached (by aminoacyl-tRNA synthetases). tRNAs cope with the degeneracy of the genetic code in two manners: having more than one tRNA (with a specific anti-codon) for a particular amino acid; and 'wobble' base-pairing, i.e. permitting non-standard base-pairing at the 3rd anti-codon position. Lineage: Eukaryota; Metazoa; Chordata; Mammalia; Carnivora; Felidae. The record is from Rfam by way of RNAcentral. RNAcentral also lists the same sequence under 6 other names.
GCUCAGUUAGUUGAGCGUUAGACUCUUGAUUUUGGCUCAAAUCAUGAUCUGAUGGUUUGUGGGAUCAAGCCCCACAUUGAGCU